GGGGAUGUAGCUCAGUUGGUAGAGUGCUUGCCUUGCAUGCAUAAGGCCCUGGGUUCAACCCCCAGCACCGCCA
This is a non-coding RNA of Ictidomys tridecemlineatus (thirteen-lined ground squirrel), 73 nucleotides long. Lineage: Eukaryota; Metazoa; Chordata; Mammalia; Rodentia; Sciuridae. The record is from Rfam.